AUGCGAAACAGGGCGGUACUGCUGCCCUGUCUACCCGGUGUGGUGAUCGGGUACUGAUGAGCAACCGAAC
This 70-nucleotide non-coding RNA is filed under the name Aeromonas sobria. The record is from RNAcentral. Lineage: Bacteria; Pseudomonadati; Pseudomonadota; Gammaproteobacteria; Aeromonadales; Aeromonadaceae.